RNAcentral lists this ribosomal RNA (486 nucleotides) under uncultured bacterium. Its description in RNAcentral is "partial 16S ribosomal RNA". It matches the Rfam family "Bacterial small subunit ribosomal RNA", at positions 28 to 507 of the family's 1533-position model. The record is from RNAcentral.
GACGAACGCUGGCGGCGUGCUUAACACAUGCCAGUCGAACGCUGAAGACCUGGCUUUUGUUGGGUUGGAUGAGUGGCGAACGGGUGAGUAACACGUGAGUAACCUGCCCUCUUCUUUGGGAUAACGCCCGGAAACGGGUGCUAAUACUGGAUAUUCACUGGCCUUCGCAUGGGGGUUGGUGGAAAGGUUUGUUCUGGUGGGGGAUGGGCUCGCGGCCUAUCAGCUUGUUGGUGGGGUGAUGGCCUACCAAGGCUUUGACGGGUAGCCGGCCUGGGAGGGUGACCGGUCACAUUGGGACUGAGAUACGGCCCAGACUCCUACGGGAGGCAGCAGUGGGGAAUAUUGCACCAUGGGCGAAAGCCUGAUGCAGCGACGCCGCGUGAGGGAUGGAGGCCUUCGGGUUGUAAACCUCUUUCGCUCAUGGUCAAGCCGCAACUGUGGGUUGUGGUGAGGGUAGUGGGUAAAGAAGCGCCGGCUAACUACGUG